AUAGCGUAUAUUUAAGUUGUUGCAGUUAAAAAGCUCGUAGUUGGAUUUCGGAGAGGUACUGCCGGUCUGGCGUUUCGUUAAGUACUGGCAGCGCCUCUCUUGCUGCCGGAAACGGGCUCCUGAGCUUAAUUGCUCGGGACUCGGUGUCGGCGAGGUUACUUUGAGUAAAUUAGAGUGUUCAAAGCAGGCCUACGCUCUGAAUACAUUAGCAUGGAAUAACACGAUAGGACUCUGGCCUAUCUCGUUGGUCUGUGGGACCGGAGUAAUGAUUAAGAGGGACAGUCGGGGGCAUUCGUAUUUCAUUGUCAGAGGUGAAAUUCUUGGAUUUAUGAAAGACGAACUUCUG
RNAcentral lists this ribosomal RNA (346 nucleotides) under uncultured eukaryote. RNAcentral's name for it is "SSU rRNA". It matches the Rfam family "Eukaryotic small subunit ribosomal RNA", at positions 594 to 945 of the family's 1831-position model. The record is from RNAcentral.